GUUUGUUUAUGGCUCCUCAGACCGCUGUGUAUUGCUAUCGUGCGGUCGUUACUAAAGUUGGUAUAACUAGAGAAGCAAGGGAUCGGCAACAUUCAUCUCUCUAACUGGGGCUGUCUAACUCUGUGUUACGGUGUGUUUGACCCUAAAUUAAUUUUACGCUGGAAUAUCCCUUUAAAAACAGAGUGUGUUCUCAGCCCUUCCCCUAAAACGGGUCUUACUUUCAGUCCAUCGUCAUGAGGUCAGAUCGAUGUGCAUCAAAGUUUGAACUCUCAAGGGAGUUGCAGACUUAAUAACAGACUGCUGUAUCUUCAGUGAGUUGUGCUGCAGCUGCAAGUGGACAGAGGAGAGCAGGAGUUGCUCAUGUGUGUAUGUGUAUGUCUGAAAAGUCAAAAACAGAAACAAAACAGAGAAAUGGUUCUGAAGAUAUAAACAUUCAAGUAAAGGCGAAGAAUGUGGCGCAUGUCCACAAAUCAAAUAUGUGAAGUCUGAAAUAUAAAGAUCAUGGCGACAUACACAAAUAGAGGCUGUAAUUUAUGUAAGAAAUGUUCUGAAUUUAUCUAAAAUGGGAGGUAUAACGUCACAUAUCUUGACCCCAUAGUUUAACCAUUGCAUCACGUUUAAAGUAUUUGUGUGUGAUGUAAUCAGAGACACUUGCAUAAGUGAUGGAAAAUUCAAACAGCACCUAAACGCAUCACUGCUCCAGCUGCUCUGGAUGUCUCAGCAGGCUCAGAGGUGCCGAGGUAUCCCUGAGAGUGUGUAUGUGGAUUUGUGUGUGUGUGUGUGUGUGUGGAUUUGUGUGUGCAUAUUACCCUGUGAUAACCCUUAGUCUCACACACACACACACACUCGUACUGACACGGUGGUUCACACGUUACUGCAGGGCAUUGGAGAGAGAUAAGACACAGAGUCAUGCCUCCCCAGCGUGACAGUGACAUCACAGUUGUAUCUGUGUGUUCACUACCCCAGCACACACACACAUACACACACACACACCUCCCCCUGUGUGCUAGAAAGAGACCAGCCUAAUAUAGUCAGCAUGGAUCACACACACACACUUAGACACACUUCCUCACAGGGCCAGAAGCAAAGGGGAUAAGGUGGGGGGAUCCGCCUGUCAUAUUUCCAUCUCCUGUCCUUGGUUGGUUAUAAGCAUGUGUUCCUCCAGAGCCGAGUGUGUGUGUGUGUGUGUGUGUGUGUGCGUAUGUGGGUGUGUGUGAAUGGGAUGACGUCGCUGUUACGUCUGUUGGUGUCCAUCACUGGCUCAGAGUCCAGUCUUGGCAGAGACAGGUGCAUCCAUGGCUGCCUGUGUGUGUAUGUGCGUGCGUACGGGUUGGUUUUUGUAGCCUAUUUGGGACAUGUCCAGUGUUGGACUUUGCUGGGACUAAUUGUCCUCUAGGGGACCCACUCUGUCCUGGAAAGGCUUUCUCUGAUGUUCUGGCCCUGCUUCCUGUUUAAAGAUAUUGUGUGUAUAAGUCGGUGUGUUGCUGUAUCAGAUGGUUUUUGUUAACUUAUCGUCUCAGAGCUCUGCUUGUGGGGAUCUCGAACCUGUUUUUGGUGCAUCACAGGGACCAUUUCUAAAACAAAAACCCUUCGUAUGGGGACCACUACUUUUUGUAGUGACACACUUGUUAUAAAUGCUGCAAAAAGUUGUUUCUGAUGUUUUUGUUUCACCACCUAGUUUGUGUGUGUAUGUGGAAUCAUUUUUGUUACGUCACAGGGACCUUUUCUCAUAUAAAAGCCUUAUUUAUGGGGACUACUUUGUCUUGUAAUCACACAUCUGUUACAAACACUGCUAAGUGUAAAUCUCAUUUUGUUUUGUGUGUGUGUUUAUGUUUAUUAGAUUGUUCCUGCUGCCUUAUGGGGACCUUGACAAAUAUCAAAACACUACUUGUGGGGACCACUAUUUCUUUAGGACACAAGUUGGCUGCAAUUGCCUCAGAAUGUUAAAUUUGACGUUCCCAUGUUGCCUUAUUUUCGUCGAGUGUGUGUGUGUGUGUGUGUGUGUGUGUGUGUGUGUGUGUGUGUGUGUGUGUGUGUGUUUCUUUUGGUUGUUUUUAUGAACUUAUAAGGACCACUUUUUUUUUUAGGGACAACUUGUUACAAAAGUCUUUGCUGAUAUCUCAAUUUUGCUUCAUUUUGUUAGCCCGCAUGCUAACUUUGUGAGUUUAAUGUAUAUGUUUGUGAGAGUGCUUUGCUUGCAUCAGGGAGGCUUUGUUCAACAUUAAAACUCCACUAAUAGGAACCGCUGAAGUUAAAUCUGGCAAGCAAUAUGUGAUCAAUGUCAUGUUGUGUAGCAGCCAUUGCUGUGUUAGGGACUCCCUGAUGUUAGACAGCUACUGAUGAAGAUACCUUGUUGAAAAGAUCUAAACACAUUUUUAGAGUUAUUCAAUUAGAUAGCUUUCAGAGAGAUUGAGAAAAGAAAAGGCCUGACCUGCCCUAUAUUUUUGCCCAAAUGCCAGGUAAAUGCAUUCUUAAUCUACCUUGCUAGUCUCAUGAACCUGUUAACAACUGUGUCUAUCAUCACAGACUAGUUGCACCAGCAAAUAUAUUUUUUAUGUUAUUUUUUAUUUAGCUUAUACAUUUUUAAAUCAUUCAGUUGCUACCACAACUGAGUAAUUUUAACAAAGCUAAGCUUGUCAACAAACUCGCCAGCUGGUAAAAUAACGCGAUACAAGAUUGUUUCAUCAAUUUUCUGGUGAUCAAAAAUAAAUUGAAAUCAACAGGUCACUUAGUAAUUGGCUUUUUUUGUUGUGCAAAGUUAACAAGGUUCUUUUAAUUGCUACCAACACUGUUGUCACAAAUAAAACUGUACAAAAAGUAAACACUAAUCACUCCUGAGCGCAAAGUACGUUCAAAACACUGAGAUUUUGAAGUAGGUGCCACUGCAGCAAAGCUUGUAACAUUGGUUUAUAGUGGUGAAUCUGUCACAUAUGCUUAAAAAAGUCAUUUGUUCAGGUCCUGCUUUUUGGUAUUUAAGUGUAGGAUGUGUUUUGUCUCAUAAAGACGCUUACAUCCAUGCAGAAACAUUGUAUAUGUACAGAAUUAUGGUCCUUACGGGGACCUGCCCACUACAAUCAGUAACAGUGAAAUUUACACAAACACCCCCGCUGGCUGUCCUUUACAUUCUUUCUCUUUCCUGUUUGAAUUCUUCGACUUUAUCUCUUCAGAUUCUUCUCCUCUCUCUCUCUCUCUCUCUCUCUCUCUCUCUCUCUCUCUCUCUGUCACUAGCAGCUCUGGUCAGCCAUUAAACUCCCUCUUAAGCCAAACCAGCAGAAUUCCCAGGCUGCUCGGCUGCCCGGGUUCACACCUUUUUGUCCACAGGAAUCUCAGGAAUCCCCAGCUUCCUUUUCCACCGCAAUCUCCAUUGUGUGUGUGUGUGUGUGUGUGUAAAGCUAUAAGAAGCAAAGGCCCCCGCCUGUGUUGUGUGUGUGUGUGUGUGUGUGUGUGUGUGUGUGUGUGUGUGUGUGUGUGUGUGUGUGUGUGUGUGUGUGUGAAAACACAUCUCCGCCCUUGUACCCACCCAGUUUGUGUCCACAAUAGUGUGAGUCACACUCAAAAACGACAAAAAACUCUCUGUUACUGUGAAACUUUACACUCUCAGACAAACUUGAGUGGACAUUUAGGGUCACAGUGAAAUUGAAGAACACAGAUUUUGUAAAUGAACUUUUGAGUCAGUAAAUACAAACAUAUACAUAUAUAUAUUUUACGUUGACACCAUGUUUUUCUUAUAACAGGCAAAAGUUUCGGGAGGUAACAUUAGCUUGUUAGUACAGGCAUUAAAAGCGUGGGAUACAUCUUAACAAAGAAAUCCAUUAGAGGGAUUUGAGUGAAUGAAAUGGGAUUAGUUUUAUAAAAAUACAAUAUAGAAAUAUUUUUAAAACUGUCAAUGACAAACGGAGUAAUGUGAUCCUGAAAAAUUGUGUUUGCGUGAAAAAAAAAUGACACUUGUAUUACAAAAAUAAGCAUAAAAUGAGGCGUUUAUAGAAUAUGAACAUAUCAAUUAAAAUGAUGAAAGCUUAAUUGUCACUUUUGAUGGAUUUUAACUUGCAGCAGAAAGUGUUAAGGUUCAAUUAAUGAGGAAUACAAAUACGUACAAACUCUGACAUUUUUGUUAUGACAAUAAAUAUUUGAGAGUCAGUUUUUGAAAGUCAUAGUUAUGCUACAUCCAGCUCACUAGCAGCUACUGCUUCUUCAUCAUCUUAACUAUGUCUAAUGAUGUGGCAACCAGCAUGAAGGAGAGAGAGACAAUAUCAUAGUAGAGUGAUAUGAUAUGAUAUAGAACAAAACCCAUGGUCUAAGAUGAUGAUAACACCAAUCACACAAUGAUACAUCACAAAAUCUGAUGAGCCUGAUAACAAAACAUGUCCGAAAAAAAUGAAGUUCACGUUUAAUGCCGUUUGCGUCACCAUGACAAGUCAUAAAGUUAGAUGAAGUGAGUCAUUCCAACAUCUACACAAAGAUGUAUUGUUUUUAAAGUGUCCAUAUUUGACUUCAGUGAUACACAGACUAUAUAUUUUUCUUUCCCUUAUUUUCUGGUCUAAAAUUUGUAAAGGCAAUCCUGCAGCCCUGUUUUCUUAACAUGAAAUUACCCUCAUUGUCAAGCAAAAUAUAUGAAUCUUAGUUCCAGUGAGUCAUUGUUCCUGGCUAAGAGAGAGCAGCUGAGUAAAAAGAAUAAUCUGUCUGAUUUUGGCAGGGAGGAGUCAAAUGAACCAAAAUAGCUCCAGACAAAAAAUUAUUUGUUUUCAGAGUUCUCACAGAGAAACCUCUAAUGAGAGGUGAUACUACGCCCAUCCAGACAAGAGUCAGUGCUCUUACAGUGUGACGCCUGCAGGUUAACACUGCCGUUUGUCCGCACGUCUGGAGUCGUUUACCCUCGCCAGCCCUGACUCAUCCCCCACCGGAGCCCAGCCUGCUGUCGGGGCUCAGCAGCACCCAUUCAACACGAUGAGAAACAUUCAGAAAAACCAAACACCAACCGGACACACGACAGGCUGUGAUUCACACACACCCACUCAAUCUCCAUCCACACAUAAGCAGCCACAGAGGCGUACAGGUCCAUGUCUGAAAUGUUGUUGAAGAGGCCAGCCAGGAGGUGAUCUAAGACAGAGGUUUAAACAUAACAUCAGGAGGAAAGGGAUGGUUCUCAAAGUGAGAAACAAAAACAAAACAAAUAUCUGCUGCAAGUUUGGGACUUUCUCUUAUCUUUCUCAGGGGAAACACAAGUCAGUUUUUUAUUUACCCUUAUAACAACUAUCCAAACAAUCUAAUUGAAGUUGUUGUGAAAAUUUGCUUAAAACUUUUAUGACUUUUAGGCGUUUUAUGACAUGUAACCUUUAACAGACAGAUCUCACAAAAAGCUCAUAUAAAACAUAAAUGGGGAGAAAUACAACAGCUAAAAAGAAAGAGAAUUAAAAGGAAAAUACUCAUUAAAAGUUGCAUCAUAGUAAAAAAAAUUACCUCACUUUGAAAAUUUGUCUGAAACUACGAGGGUGAUGUAUUACUCAAGUAAAACAUUAGCAAAGAAAAGGGCGUUUUUCACUGUAAAGUAGGUCGUUGUAUAAAAAAUACUUUCUAUUUCACAAGUAGAGAAUACAAAGUAAAAUGUAUAACACUGAAAUGAAAAUGAAAGUAAGAGAUUUUCAAAGGAUUAAUAGAUAUUUAAAAGCUUCGAUGAAAAAGAAAAGAGGACUUCGAUGAAAAAAUUGAGCAUAAGAUAAAAGGUAAAGAAAUGAACAAGCAUGGAAAAUUAAGAUGUUAAAAUUCAAGAAAAAGAAGUCUGAAAAGUCAUGAAAAGAAAUUUAUAGUUGGCCGAUAUCAGUUUUAAUGGUUGGUGCCAAUAAUGAAAGAGCAGAUCAGCUGGUGUCUGAUAUAUUCUAUAUCACAUUGUUGUUGUUGUUGUUUUCCAUUUCCAACAAUUUAAUAAGUCUAACAAAUAGUAAACAAAAUCAUAGUUACAUUACAGUAUCUGUUAUUGAUGUGAUAUGAUGUGAUUUGAGAAAGAAAAUUAUCAUUUUGAAAAGAUUAUUGUUCCAUUGGUCUUGUAGUGUUGUUACUUCAAAAUGUUAUUAAUCAUACUAAUUAAUUAGCAGACUAAUUGAUCAGUCCAUCUCUAUUGUGUGUUUCAGUAUCAUCAGCAUGUAUCAGUAUGUUGCAAUCAGAAAUAAUUAGUGGGAGGUUGUCAAUGAAAACUGAAAAAAAGAAGUGGUUUUAAGGUGGAGACAUGAGGCACACCCCUCAGAUAAGCUAAUCAGAUUUUUGACUUUUCACAACAACACUUUGCUUUCUGUUGUGUAAAUAAGAAUCAAAUCAUGGCAAUGCAUGCUGGGAAAAAUGUAUAGUGCAAAGUUUGUCCAAAAGUAGAUAUUGGGCCACCAUCUGAAACAUGAACAACCCUCUGCUUUGUCUCCAAAAGUAUUAACCCAACUGUUUUGAGCAGCACAACAACUGCAGUGAGAGUCACUCCUUGUUUAGAUAUUGCUUCAUAUUCAGGCGCCUAAAACAUCGUCAACCUCUGACCCACAGAGAUUGUCUCGUAGGGUUAACAAUAUAGAAUCAAAGGGAGUCUGCAGUAUUUAGGUCGAAUAUUACUCAACCCUGUUCGUUACAUGACUCACUGAAGUUAUUUAAAUAGUUAUGAAUGGAGCCUGACAAAGCCGCUCCUCCCCUUGUAUGUGUGUGCAUGUUUGCACACCACAAUGUGUGUAACGGGAGCGUAGCAUGGGUGCAGCCCGGCUUUUGAUGAGUCACAUGUGGAUCCUCUGUGAGUAACUAACCAGCUAUGUGAGUCCUGAAGUUUCAGACCCACACAGAAAACCCCUGGUCUCAGAGGGAGGGGGAGGGGCAGGGCAGGGUGGGGCGGCUCUGGACUGUUGAUGGGUGUGGUCUGCAGGAGUGGUGAGGCAGAGAAUAGAUGUGGGGUAAAAUAGCAGGAUGUAGGUGAGGACCGGGAUCUGUGAGUGGAAGGUGGAGGACGGGAUGGUGAGGGCAGAGUAAGGUCAGGAUUAGGGGAAAGAGGUCAUCGCUCAGGGUCAAAAAAUGGUAAUGACUACAUUUUACCUCACCCUGUUAUCUCCCUCUAAAUCUGUUUUUUAAUUUGAGGAGUUUUGUGUCUGUACACUCAGGUACUUUCUUUGAAUAACUCUGGUCACUGCAGAAUAACAUGUUUAUCAGCUUCUGCAUAUCAGUCAGUUUUGGUAAAUUUUGGUACUUUCUCUUUCUGUGGUCACACUCAGCUCUCUGACUCCAGAGGUGUCAAAAGUCCAAACUUUCUUUACCUAUAAACAAAAACAAACUUUUACACAAAAACACAGUGGCAAAAAAGGUACUGUUUAACUUUUGGUUCAACAAAACUCACUGAUAAUGAAUUUGUCAAAGUAACUUUGCAAGUCUGAUAUUGUUUCUAACACUUACCUAAACAUAGAAGG
Molecule: non-coding RNA, 7424 nt
Organism: Xyrichtys novacula (pearly razorfish)
Lineage: Eukaryota; Metazoa; Chordata; Actinopteri; Labriformes; Labridae
Source: the annotation of a GenBank genome assembly